AUUUGAUUUACAGACAUGUACAUUUUCUAUCAACCCCCUGGAAGGAGCGUCACAGUUCAGUUCUAGAACAAUAUUCCUUUGAUUUCUCUACACAUCUCUUGUAUUGACACGCUCUAAAAAUAAAAAAUAACCUCUGUUUUCUGCUCAAUAUCAGAAAUAGGUUUCUUUAUACAGGAUUCUUGUAUGACAAGAAGUAGAACAUUUCUCAGCACAUCACUUCAGUGAUUAUCAAGGUAGAAUUACUCAAUACAACGGAUUUAUACUUCUAAAUAAUUGAUGCUGAAUCAACUAAAUUUGGCAAAGUAAAACUCAAUUGGUGACCCGUCUGAACAGAGCCAACGUCCCUUCUCGUGUCAGGUGACAACAUGUCAGCAACUACAGUGUCGUGAGCGUGACGUGACAGACUUCUGAGGCUGCGGUUCAAAUCAAUCCCUGAACAUUAGGCGUGCAAAAUGGUUUGAUCGGAUGUUCUCAAAAUAAUAAUAAUUAAAAAAAACUUUACAAGAGCUACAAAAUGAAUGCAGAAUGUAUUGCACCCUAAACAUUAGACACAUCCAUCAUAUCGCAGUUCCUUUUGUGUGUGUAAUGUGUGUGAGAUACAUCUCAGGACUUGCUGGUCAGGUUUCAAAGGGGAUGGGGGGGAUUCCUCUCUAAUGCAUUGUAAGUGAUAAGAAGUUGCCAUCAGGAUUUCCUGUUGCUGUCUGGAAUUUUGAUUCCCCUCAGUAAUAGAGAGAUGUCGACAGCCCCUGCUCUCCUAAAAGGUCCUUUCUCUUAAUUGUGGAAUGGGAUAUCUACAAUUGCGAAGUAAAAAGGGUAUCUUUCCACAAUGGCUGGUAUUGUCACCAGCAUGGACAUUAGAAGCGACUCCGUCCCUGUGGGUUUUGUGUCCAGAAAUUGAAAACCAGCAAUCAGAGAGCUAAUCCCUCUGAAGAGAAACCUCUCUCCCUGAAAAGGCAGUGUGGAUUAGAAAGGUUGGUUCUUUGUAUUGCUUCUCGUGUACACAAAAAACAUUAAGCUACUCCUUAAAAGUCAGAAGAGAAGCUUUCUUUUUACUUUUGGGAAAAGCAUGCACUUUAUAAAUUAUAAAAAAAACGUCCAGUGUCUGUUUAAAUUGCCCGGAUUGCAUCACAUUCCUUCUGAAACAAUCAUAGGCAGUGACCUCCCGUUUCAAAUCCAACAUCAUGCAGAAAAAAAAAAAUCACAAGAGAGCUAAUGAAAAAUAAUGUGCAGAAAUCACGUUCUCUGGAUCUGUCUACGCCUAUGUAAGUGCUAAAGGCUCAAAAUAAGAAAAACACAUGAGGCCGUCAAAGGAAACAGCUGUUUGAUGGGAAAGCGCCAAUUUUUACGGAUGCUUUACUGAUGGUAACAGUUUUUCGCUUUGAGGGCUUACGAGCAGAGUGAUCAGAGUCUUUGGGAAUUACACUCCUACCGGGAAGCGCCAAAUCUCUCACUCCACUUGAAUUUUACAGCUUUUUUCUGUGUUUAAAAGCCAAGGCAGAAUGAAUUGUGGGUAAUUUGCAUUGGAGCAACAGAGACACCAAUGGAGCUUAAUGAUUGCAGUUGACACAUGCGGAUGUCGAGCCACGUAAUCAAACAGAUUUCAUCGCUAAUGGCUGGAUUCUGGUGCGCAUGUCAACACAGUCAGUGAUCACAAGUCAUGAGGGCCGUGGGUCAGUGCAAAGUCGGAAGGAAUGUAAUGACGCUAUGGCACUUGGUGCAGAUUGACAGCCAAUGCAACAGACAGACGAGCAGACAGACAGGCAGGUUCAUUGUCAGCAUUCAGUAGUAUGGUAUCAGGAGUCGGGGGGACGGGGGGGAGGGGUGGUCACAGGGGAUUGCCGCACCCCAAAGUCCUCCCUGGAAGGUUCAGUGGAUCCUCUGGGACAGAGGGGUGGAGGACACCAGCUGGCGGCUGGUCGGCAUCAGCCGGCGGCUGUGCUCCUUCUCACAGACCUGGGAUUUAGAGGCGUAUCAAGGAGGGGCAAGACGCUCCCUCGUUCUAGUUCUGAGCAGCUUCUGUGAAACUGUAUAGACAAAGGGCAGCAGGAGCCAAGAGGAGGAGGAAGAGGAGGAGGAUCGUGGCGAGGACAGCAAUGACGAGAACUUGGACGUGACUUCAAAUGAGGGGAUCAGCUUUCCUUGGUUUUAACUCCAAUGUGUCAUCUUUUAGUGUUUGGCUGCUCCUUCAAGUGGCUCCUCAUGUUGUUGUCACCUGCAAGAGAGAGAGUGAGGGAGAGAGAGAGAGGAGAGAAGGAGGGAGAGAGUGGGAAGGAAAUAUUGCCAUUAGAGUCUGGACUCACCAUAGGACAUGUAAUUAAUGUGGAGGUCAGAAGCUCCUGAGCCAUCUGUUAGGACCUCCCUGAUCAUGCCUGCACACAAGGACCAGCCUGUGACCUAAAUAUUUUCCUGCACACAACAUACCAACACAUAACAGUUGGUUUGAGGCAGACCCCCCCUCUGAUUAUUAAUAAUUAUUUUUAAUGUCAAAUAAUUUUAAUCCAAAUAAAUAAAUAAAUCUGGCGUAACGCCGGGAGACAAGUGAAUGUAAGUAGAGUAAUAAUAUAGCGUUGCAGGAGGAUGAGAGGACUGUUGUUCUGGUUCUGCGGAUACAGAUCCAAUCCUCUCAGGGAUGAACCGUUUCCCUACCUUAUGAGUGUUGGUUGUUGAUGUAAACUGUGAAGUGUUUAUGAGCCAAACUCAAAUGCCAUCGUGAUAAUUAAAGCUGCGAAUGCUUUGAUGCGUGUGACAUCGGCCCGACUAGUUGAAGACUACUUCACUGUGGACCGGUCUGGUAAGCGGGUAAACUUGGGGUUUUGGCUUCGAAGAAGCGAGGCGCGUGAAAACUGACUGGCCUCUCAUUCGAGGACGGAUGGAGAGAGUGGCGGAUGGGUUGGUACACGAGACAAAGGAUACUUUAAUGUAAAGAGAAGAGCUCUUUCUUUUCACGUAUUCAUUGUAUUAUGAAAGAGGACGAGAAUCGAGGGCCUUUCUGAGUGCUUUGUAACCUAAACAGGUCCCAUCAUGUGUGUGUGUGUGUGUGUUGUGGUCACUGGACUACCGGGCAUCAUUAACCCAUUCUGCUGACUGGGGACUCUGAGCUUUUGUUAAAUGAUAAGAGUGCCUGCAGCUGUGUAAACACUUUUAACAGUUAAAGUUUGGACAGCGGUGACUAAAUCAGAGUUUGGCCUCGAGAUGUGAGUUUCUCCCCCCCCACCCCCACCCCCCCACCAGUAAUAUGAGAUUGUGGUUACUGAAUAAAUGAGCGCAAAGCCACGCUGUCCGGUCUUUUGACAGCCCCCUCCCCCCCAGCUCAGGGACGUCCUCUAGUAAUCACGCACCGUGGGGUCAAUCUGGGCAGCGGAGGCGGGUUCCUCCUGCAGAGGAAGUUAAUUGGAUCGCGGCCUAUCUGAUCUGCGUCUGGGGUUCCCUCACCGGAGAUUAAUAUGAUCGCGAUGGAAAACGGCUUAGGCCGUCACUGCUCCUCUUUAUCCUCAUUUUGUGCAACGGGCGUGUGUCAUUUCUCUCCUCCUCUGAAUCCCUCUCCUUCACUUCCCCUCCUCGUCAGAACCCAGCACUUGUUCCUGUACUCUGAAUUCUACCACUGCUCCACACCGCCGCCUUUCCACAUUUCUGCCUUAAUUGGUUCCCGGAGCGGCGUCUUGCACCACUCGGAACACAAUGGUCAGAGCAGGCGUGAAUGCGGAACACUUGUCAACGGUGAGCGGAUGAACUGUGAACUGUAUUGAUCGGCAAGUCCCCAGGGAGGAAAUAGUGCCUGACACUGAUUGGAUUAUCCCCCACGACAGAUUUGUUGACAAUCAAUCACCACAGUGCGUCGCGUCGAUUCACUUUACAAUUUCAAUGAAUCAUUUUUCAGGUGAAUUUGAAUCUGACCUCAAGCCACUGUAGUCACAGUUCUCUAUAAUUAGCCUCCUUAGACACUACGGAGAAAACGCUUUAACUGCUGAGUGUGACAGUCGGAGGACAGAUGAAACACUUGUACAGCACAUGAGCGUCCCCUGAAACCUGAUGUGUGCGGGAGCCUUUCAUGUCACCUAUCAUUAAGUGUGCAUACUAAUGACACCCUGUCAAUGGUAAUGACCUUCAGUAAAAGGCCACAAGGCUGUAGUUUUGCAUAUUGUAGCACGCUAACUG
This is a long non-coding RNA of Gasterosteus aculeatus aculeatus (three-spined stickleback), 4155 nucleotides long. Lineage: Eukaryota; Metazoa; Chordata; Actinopteri; Perciformes; Gasterosteidae. The record is from Ensembl.